GACGAACGCUGGCGGCGUGCUUAACACAUGCAAGUCGAACGGAAAGGCCCUGCUUUUGUGGGGUGCUCGUGUGCCGAACGGGUGAGUAACACGUGUGUAACCUGCCCUUGUCUUUGGGAUAACUUCAGGAAACUGGGGCUAAUACCGGAUAGGAUCUCCUGCUGCAUGGUGGGGGUUGGUAAGUUUCGGCGGUUGGGGCUGGACUCGCGGCUUAUCAGCUUGUUGGUGGGGUAGUGGCUUACCAAGGCUUUGACGGGUAGCCGGCCUGAGAGGGUGACCGGCCACAAUGGGACUGAGAUACGGCCCAGACUCCUACGGGAGGCAGCAGUGGGGAAUAUUGCACAAUGGGCGGAAGCCUGAUGCAGCAACGCCGCGUGCGGGAUGACGGCCUUCGGGUUGUAAACCGCUUUCGCAUGUGAUGAAGCGUGAGUGACGGUAAUGGGUAAAGAAGCACCGGCUAACUACGUG
This 468-nucleotide ribosomal RNA is filed under the name uncultured bacterium. RNAcentral's name for it is "partial 16S ribosomal RNA". It matches the Rfam family "Bacterial small subunit ribosomal RNA", at positions 28 to 507 of the family's 1533-position model. The record is from RNAcentral.